Molecule: ribosomal RNA, 1379 nt
Filed under: uncultured bacterium
Lineage: Bacteria
Description: 16S ribosomal RNA
Rfam family: Bacterial small subunit ribosomal RNA
Source: RNAcentral
UUCGCCCUUAGAGUUUGAUCCUGGCUCAGGACGAACGCUGGCGGCGCGCCUAACACAUGCAAGUCGAACGAGCGAGAGAGAGCUUGCUUUCUCGAGCGAGUGGCGAACGGGUGAGUAACGCGUGAGGAACCUGCCUCAAAGAGGGGGACAACAGUUGGAAACGACUGCUAAUACCGCAUAAGCCCACGGGUCGGCAUCGACCAGAGGGAAAAGGAGCAAUCCGCUUUGAGAUGGCCUCGCGUCCGAUUAGCUAGUUGGUGAGGUAACGGCCCACCAAGGCGACGAUCGGUAGCCGGACUGAGAGGUUGAACGGCCACAUUGGGACUGAGACACGGCCCAGACUCCUACGGGAGGCAGCAGUGGGGAAUAUUGCACAAUGGGGGAAACCCUGAUGCAGCGACGCCGCGUGGAGGAAGAAGGUCUUCGGAUUGUAAACUCCUGUUGUUGAGGAAGAUAAUGACGGUACUCAACAAGGAAGUGACGGCUAACUACGUGCCAGCAGCCGCGGUAAAACGUAGGUCACAAGCGUUGUCCGGAAUUACUGGGUGUAAAGGGAGCGCAGGCGGGAAGACAAGUUGGAAGUGAAAUCUAUGGGCUCAACCCAUAAACUGCUUUCAAAACUGUUUUUCUUGAGUAGUGCAGAGGUAGGCGGAAUUCCCGGUGUAGCGGUGGAAUGCGUAGAUAUCGGGAGGAACACCAGUGGCGAAGGCGGCCUACUGGGCACCAACUGACGCUGAGGCUCGAAAGUGUGGGUAGCAAACAGGAUUAGAUACCCUGGUAGUCCACACCGUAAACGAUGAUUACUAGGUGUGGGAGGAUUGACCCCUUCAGUGCCGCAGUUAACACAAUAAGUAAUCCACCUGGGGAGUACGACCGCAAGGUUGAAACUCAAAGGAAUUGACGGGGGCCCGCACAAGCAGUGGAGUAUGUGGUUUAAUUCGACGCAACGCGAAGAACCUUACCAAGUCUUGACAUCCUGCGACGCACAUAGAAAUAUGUGUUUCCUUCGGGACGCAGAGACAGGUGGUGCAUGGUUGUCGUCAGCUCGUGUCGUGAGAUGUUGGGUUAAGUCCCGCAACGAGCGCAACCCUUACUGUCAGUUACUACGCAAGAGGACUCUGGCAGGACUGCCGUUGACAAAACGGAGGAAGGUGGGGAUGACGUCAAAUCAUCAUGCCCUUUAUGACUUGGGCUACACACGUACUACAAUGGCGUUAAACAAAGAGAAGCAAGACCGCGAGGUGGAGCAAAACUCAGAAACAACGUCCCAGUUCGGACUGCAGGCUGCAACUCGCCUGCACGAAGUCGGAAUUGCUAGUAAUCGUGGAUCAGCAUGCCACGGUGAAUACGUACCCGGGCCUUGCACACACCGCCCGUCA